Molecule: non-coding RNA, 22 nt
Filed under: Arabidopsis thaliana (thale cress)
Lineage: Eukaryota; Viridiplantae; Streptophyta; Magnoliopsida; Brassicales; Brassicaceae
Source: RNAcentral
UACUCGACCACCUCUACGCUGC